UAUCUUACGGGGGGCAGCAGUGAGGAAUAUUGGUCAACGGGCGGGAGCCUGAACCAGCCAAGCCGCGUGAGGGAAGAAGGUACAGCGUAUCGUAAACCUCUUUUGUCAGGGAACAAAGGCGGGGACUAGUCCCCGGCUGAGGGUACCUGAAGAAAAAGCAUCGGCUAACUCCGUGCCAGCAGCCGCGGUAAUACGGAGGAUGCGACCGUUAUCCGGACUUAUUGGGUUUAAAGGGUGCGCAGGCGGCCUG
This 250-nucleotide ribosomal RNA is filed under the name uncultured bacterium. RNAcentral describes it as "partial 16S ribosomal RNA". It matches the Rfam family "Bacterial small subunit ribosomal RNA", at positions 335 to 582 of the family's 1533-position model. The record is from RNAcentral.